GGUUUACAAGGCCAGAGAUAAGAAUACCAACCAAAUUGUCGCCAUUAAGAAAAUCAAACUUGGACAUAGAUCAGAAGCUAAAGAUGGUUAUAAUAAAGGAUAAUAGUCUUGUGCUGACAACAUCACACAUCAAAGCCUGCAUGUUGAUGACUCUUCAAGGAUUAGAAUAUUUACAUCAACAUUGGAUCCUACAUAGGGAUCUGAAACCAAGCAACUUGUUGCUAGAUGAAAAUGGAGUUCUAAAACUGGCAGAUUUUGGCCUGGCCAAAUCAUUUGGGAGCCCCAGUAGAGCUUAUACAUAUCAGGUUGCAACCAGGUGGUAUCAGGCCCCUGAGUUACUAUUUGGAGCUAGGAUGUAUGGUGUAGGUGUGGACAUGUGGGCUGUUGGCUGUAUAUUAGCAGAGUUACUUCUAAGGGUUCCUUUUUUGUCAGGAGAUUCAGAGCUUGAUCAGCUAACAAGAAUAUUUGGGCACACCAACUGAGGAACAGUGGCCGGACAUGUGUAGUCUUCCAGAUUAUGUGACAUUUAAGAGUUUCCCUGGAAUCCCAUGGCAUCACAUCUUCAGUGCAGCAGGAGACGACUUACUAGAUCUCAUACAAGGCUUAUUAUUUAAUCCAUGUGCUCGAAUUACGGCCACACAGGCACUGAAAAUGAAGUGUUUCAGUAAUCGGCCAGGGCCAACACCUGGAUGUCAGCUGCCAA
This 703-nucleotide long non-coding RNA is filed under the name Pan troglodytes (chimpanzee). Its description in RNAcentral is "long non-coding RNA NONPTRT011063". Lineage: Eukaryota; Metazoa; Chordata; Mammalia; Primates; Hominidae. The record is from RNAcentral.